AAAAGGUUUCGUUACUCGUGUUCAAGAAAGUUACAUAAUCGUCAUUUUGAAGCGCGAAGCGAAUGUUGUGUGUUCUCUAGUAGCAAUUAUAUCCCUGAAAUUUACACAUGAAAAGGUUACGGUAACAAGAAUUCCAGCUGCGAAUACACGCGACUGCGGGGAAUCCAAUGGUGAUGGACGUGCGCGAACUUCUCUUUAUACGCGAAUAUUCUUUUGAUUGUUUUCAAUUUAUUCUUGAAUUACAAUAAUAAAUUUCAUUUAUCGAAACUUUAACCACUUACUUACCGCUAGGUACGUACCCCCCGGUAACAAAAUACCACUGAUCAUGGUAGACAUCCGGAUGGAUAUGCAUUACGUUAGACAAGUUCCUCCUCGCGCACGUUAUCGUGAAGAUAGAAGUGGAGGAAAAUGGAAAUGGAAUGAACGAAUGAACGAAUGAACGAACGAACGAAGAGGUUCAAGAACGAGUGACGUGGAUGUCUCUCUGGUGCGACUCAUAUACUCUACCUGCGCCGAUCUGACGUCACGGGUAUGCCUCUUAUCAGGAAGGAGUACCAAUACCUGGCCAUGGGAGACGUGUUCCUCGAGUAAGUAAGUAGUACGACGAAAUACAUAAGAUUCUUAAACUUAUGAUAGAACGAAGAAUGGCACUACACUGUUGUGUGUGUGUGUGUGUGUGUGACAGAUUAGAAUUGAAAAAUUAAAGGAAGAAUAAUUUUUUAACAUUUAAUCAAAAUCAGGGCUAUUUGAUUUUAAAUGUCCGCCGUCCGAGGGUU
Osmia lignaria (orchard mason bee) is the source of this 776-nucleotide long non-coding RNA. RefSeq lists it as uncharacterized. Lineage: Eukaryota; Metazoa; Arthropoda; Insecta; Hymenoptera; Megachilidae. The record is from RefSeq and is a predicted model, not a curated record.